UGGGGAAUAUUGGACAAUGGGCGAAAGCCUGAUCCAGCCAUGCCGCGUGUGUGAAGAAGGUCUUCGGAUUGUAAAAGCACUUUUAAAGUUGGGGAGGAAGGGCAGUAAGCUAAUACCUUGCUGUUUUGACGUUACCGACAGAAUAAGCACCGGCUAACUUCGUGCCAGCAGCCGCGGUAAUACGAAGGGUGCAAGCGUUAAUCGGAAUUACUGGGCGUAAAGCGCNCGUAGUGGUUCGUUAAGUUGGAUGUGAAAGCCCCGGGCUCAACCUGGGAACUGCAUCCAAAACUGGCGAGCUAGAGUACGGUAGAGGGUGGUGGAAUUUCCUGUGUAGCGGUGAAAUGCGUAGAUAUAGGAAGGAACACCAGUGGCGAAGGCGACCACCUGGACUGAUACUGACACUGGGUNCGAAAAGCGUGGGGAGCAAAACAGGAUUAGAUACCCUGGUAGUCCACGCCGUAAAACGAUGUCAAACUAGCCGUUGGGUUCCUUGAGAGCUUAGUGGCGCAGCUAAACGCAUUAAANUUGACCGCCCUGGGGGAGUACGGCCGCAAGGUUAAAACUUAAANGAAUUGACGGGGGUCAUAGCUGUUU
This 594-nucleotide ribosomal RNA is filed under the name uncultured bacterium. RNAcentral's name for it is "partial 16S ribosomal RNA". It matches the Rfam family "Bacterial small subunit ribosomal RNA", at positions 355 to 935 of the family's 1533-position model. The record is from RNAcentral.